GACGAACGCUGGCGGCGUGCUUAACACAUGCGAGUCGAACGGAAAGGCCCUGCUUUUGUGGGGUGCUCGAGUGGCGAACGGGUGAGUAACACGUGAGUAACCUGCCCUUGACUUUGGGAUAACUUCAGGAAACUGGGGCUAAUACCGGAUAGGAGCUCCUGCUGCAUGGUGGGGGUUGGAAAGUUUCGGCGGUUGGGGAUGGACUCGCGGCUUAUCAGCUUGUUGGUGGGGUAGUGGCUUACCAAGGCUUUGACGGGUAGCCGGCCUGAGAGGGUGACCGGCCACAUUGGGACUGAGAUACGGCCCAGACUCCUACGGGAGGCAGCAGUGGGGAAUAUUGCACAAUGGGCGGAAGCCUGAUGCAGCAACGCUGCGUGCGGGAUGACGGCCUUCGGGUUGUAAACCGCUUUCGCCUGUGACGAAGCGUGAGUGACGGUAAUGGGUAAAGAAGCACCGGCUAACUACGUG
This 468-nucleotide ribosomal RNA is filed under the name uncultured bacterium. Its description in RNAcentral is "partial 16S ribosomal RNA". It matches the Rfam family "Bacterial small subunit ribosomal RNA", at positions 28 to 507 of the family's 1533-position model. The record is from RNAcentral.